AUUGUCCUGGAACAAGCCACCCUCAAAACGCUGCAGUCCUUGUAUUUCUCUGUAAUUUUAUUUGCCUACAUUUAGGGAAGGUGGAAGGUAAUGACACCGGAUAGGAAAAAUAAAAGAGCACUCGGCAGUCUACUCUUUCCCCACAAAAUGUUUUAGAAGUGUCAGCAUGUGGCGAUGUCCCGUGCCACGGAGAAUGGCCCCUCAGACAAAAAUGUAAAUUCUAACAGGAGAAACUGAGUUUAUACAUCUAGAUUGGCUGUUCUCAUUGUUUGUUGUUCUGCCUCCUUCCCUUUGUUGGGGAGAGUUUUCAAUUAGUGUGGUGGGUUUUUUGUUUGUGUUUUUAAUUAAAAAAAAUUUUUUUUUAAAUUUUUGGUUAUUCCCUCCCUCCAACAUUCUUUAACAGGUACCCUUAUUAUUUUAACAAAAGUAUUCAUUUGGUCAUUUAAGAAACCCCAACUCGAAUUAUGUGAACAAUGUAUACAAUAAAAUACACUAUCAAUAUUUCAUUCUUGUAUAAUAGGAAAUACGUAUGGUUCUACAUAGAAGGAUCAAUUCAAAUAUUAAAUGUUGUAAAAUAGGCACUUUCACAAAGAUUUCCACCAUAUAUAUUUUUCAGUAAAUGGCUGGAUUAGCAGAACAUUAUUUAAGCUGUAUAUACUGUAAUUUCAAUUUCUUAACAUUAUCACACUUACUCAAACCGUUCAAAUAAGAUUAUGACAUGAAAUCAGAGUUUUCCAAAAAACUGCAGAAGAGCUUAUAAGGUGAAAAAAUAUCUAUUUUUUUGUCUCGUAUCCUAAAUUAGGUUGUAUUAUACAGUCUUUUUGGACAAGAGGUGAGCCUUGACCUUUUGUUCUUUUUCUUUUAUGUGGUCAUAAAGGAACAAACAUCUGUGUUGCAACUGGACCUGAAGCUGCCACCGUCAGCCAAGGAUCCAGAAGCUGCAGUGGGGGGACAUCUUCAUCAUCUUCACUGCCGAUUGGGGUGACGCCACCUUGGAAGAAAGAGAAGUGGAGAGUUUUUUUCCGAAUAGGAGGCCAAUGGAGUUCCCCUGCCAAUGGAGUUAGCAAGCUGUAAAACACGUGGUACCAUCACCUGCCCGAAGAGAUGAUGAGUUUGUCAUUCAGGAAUUAAACCACGAGUGCGUGUUGAGGGUAUACUCAAUCCCAGCACGGUGCAAAGUAUCAGGAAGAAACACAGAAGACUCAAAGCAGUCCACAUACCCUGCAAAAGCUCUCAACUUUGCAGUCAGAGAAAGACAAAUGUCAUAAGAUUUCACUCGUGUGGAAUCUAAGAAACAAAACAGAUGAAUACAGAGGAAGGGAAGGAAAAAUAAGGAAGAAAUAAAUAAAUAAGAAAAAUAAGAUAAAAACA
This 1371-nucleotide long non-coding RNA is filed under the name Felis catus (domestic cat). RNAcentral describes it as "lncRNA (ENSFCAG00000043456.2)". Lineage: Eukaryota; Metazoa; Chordata; Mammalia; Carnivora; Felidae. The record is from RNAcentral.